AUGCUGACGGUAAUGACAGCUGAUAAACGGUCAGGAACCCGCACACUGGCGAUAGGUGUGCUUCGGCGCCGCCCUAAAAAUACAAGAUAUCAAAAAAAAUUCCGAAAAGCCCGCAUUAAGUUUCGCGUGAGCGCCUCGCUCCUUCCUGUCUCCCGUAGCCGAGGAGCCGUCUCCACCUGCCGGCCGCGGAGGCCUCUCCGUUGUCCACUAACCCCCUCUAGCGCCGAGCCCGCGGCCCGAGCGCAGGGCUCCGCGGGGCUCCGGGCCCCGGGCCUCCGCGCCGCCUCGCCCGCCGGGGCGCCCCCCGUGCCGCCCGGGACGCGCGCCCGCAGCCCCGGGGACCCCGACCCGCCGGGAGCCAGGCGGGCGGCGGGGGCGUCCCGGGGGGCAGCGCUCGGCUGGCCGCCGACCUCGGGCUCCCCCCGGCUGCUCGCGGCGCGCUCCGACGGGGCUGGCGGGGGCUCGCGGGGACCCCGAAGGCCCGCGCCCUCCCCGCCGAGUCAGCGCCGCGCGGCCGCGCCCCGACCUCGGCAGCCCCGCGCCGGCAGCCCCGCGCCUCUGCAGCCUGCUGGGACCCUCGCGGGUGUCGCUCGCCCUUUUCGGUGUCCUGGGACCCGGAGCAGCGGAGGCGGCACAAAGUUGAGGCGCUCGCCCUCGUGGGCAAGUUCGGGCGACCGCGCCGGGGGGGGGUGUCGGCGGCCGCGCCAGGCUCGCGCCCCCCGCGCACGGAGCAGCCCGACCGGCCCGACACGCCGGGCGCCGCCGCGGGGAGCGGGGGCGGGGGGCGGGGAGCCGGGCGCUCGGGGCACUGAGUGCGGCCCGAGAUGCCCGCACAGCGGCCGCCCAGGCCGGGGCGCGUCGCGCGAGCGGCGGAGGUGGCGGAGUCCGCGCCGCGAGCCGCCGCCGUCGCCUCCUAGGCGGGGGCCGGGCCGCGGUGGGGGGCUGGCUCGGCGCGCUCGCGGGCUCGGGCCCCGGCGGCCAGGGCAGCGCCUCCCCGGGGGCUCGGCUCGCGCGCCCGCACCCGCCGCACCUGCUCGGCCCGCCCCGCCCCGCCCCGCGCCGCGCCCCCGCCCGCGCCCGCGCCCGCGCCCUCCCCUCCCCGCCCCCGCGCGCCCCUCCCCCGCGCAGCCCGGGCUCGCUCCUGCGCGCGCGCUCUCCCGGGCCCGAGUGAAUAUCCUCGCGCGAGCGGGACGCGGCGGUGGAUGCGAUUCCGCCCGCUCGCAGCCGCCGGGAGCUCCCUGCGCCGCGGGCCGCGUCCUCCCCCGGCACCGCUGCGCCGGCUCCCGGGCGGCCUGGACCUUCGCGCGCUGCCCCCGGGGCCUCGCGCGGGGGGCGCCCCGGGACACCCCUGCGGGCCGGGCGGCGGCGGCGGACGAGGAGCGGGACCCGCACCCUGCGCUCGGCACCUGGCCGCGCUGCUGUCACUUGCCUUCAAGUGGGAGAAGCCGAGAGCCGGGAGAGUCAUGGGGGGCUGCGAAGUCCGGGAAUUUCUUUGGCAAUUCGGCUUCUUCUUGCCUUUGCUGA
This 1524-nucleotide long non-coding RNA is filed under the name Canis lupus familiaris (dog). Its description in RNAcentral is "lncRNA (ENSCAFG00000055682.1)". Lineage: Eukaryota; Metazoa; Chordata; Mammalia; Carnivora; Canidae. The record is from RNAcentral.